Molecule: ribosomal RNA, 511 nt
Filed under: uncultured bacterium
Lineage: Bacteria
Description: bacterial SSU rRNA
Rfam family: Bacterial small subunit ribosomal RNA
Source: RNAcentral
UCGGCUCAGGAUGAACGCUAGCUACAGGCUUAACACAUGCAAGUCGAGGGGCAGCAUGAGAUUAGCUUGCUAAUCUUGAUGGCGACCGGCGCACGGGUGCGUAACACGUAUCCAAUCUACCCAUGGCUCGGGGAUAGCCUUUCGAAAGAAAGAUUAAUACCCGAUGGUCUGCGAUUGAGACAUCUCGAUUGCAGUAAAGACUUGUCGGCGAUGGAUGGGGAUGCGUCCGAUUAGCUAGUUGGCGGGGUAACGGCCCACCAAGGCGACGAUCGGUAGGGGUUCUGAGAGGAAGGUCCCCCACACUGGAACCGAGACACGGUCCAGACUCCUACGGGAGGCAGCAGUGAGGAAUAUUGGUCAAUGGGCGAUGGCCUGAACCAGCCAAGUAGCCGUGAGGGACGACGGCCCUAUGGGUUGUAAACCUCUUUUGUAUGGGAAUAAAGUGCGCCACGCGUGGCGUUUUGUAUGUACCUUACGAAUAAGCAUCGGCUAAUUCCGUGCCAGCCGCCGC